Molecule: ribosomal RNA, 497 nt
Filed under: uncultured bacterium
Lineage: Bacteria
Description: partial 16S ribosomal RNA
Rfam family: Bacterial small subunit ribosomal RNA
Source: RNAcentral
GAUGAACGCUGGCGGCGUGCCUAAUACAUGCAAGUCGAGCGAACGGACGAGAAGCUUGCUUCUCUGAUGUUAGCGGCGGACGGGUGAGUAACACGUGGAUAACCUACCUAUAAGACUGGGAUAACUUCGGGAAACCGGAACUAAUACCGGAUAAUAUUUUGAACCGCAUGGUUCAAAAGUGAAAGACGGUCUUGCUGUCACUUAUAGAUGGAUCCGCGCUGCAUUAGCUAGUUGGUAAGGUAACGGCUUACCAAGGCAACGAUGCAUAGCCGACCUGAGAGGGUGAUCGGCCACACAGGAACUGAGACACGGUCCAGACUCCUACGGGAGGCAGCAGUAGGGAAUCUUCCGCAAUGGGCGAAAGCCUGACGGAGCAACGCCGCGUGAGUGAUGAAGGUCUUCGGAUCGUAAAACUCUGUUAUUAGGGAAGAACAUAUGUGUAAGUAACUGUGCACAUCUUGACGGUACCUAAUCAGAAAGCCACGGCUAACUACGUG